RNAcentral lists this long non-coding RNA (407 nucleotides) under Homo sapiens (human). RNAcentral describes it as "non-protein coding lnc-MYO10-15:1". Lineage: Eukaryota; Metazoa; Chordata; Mammalia; Primates; Hominidae. The record is from RNAcentral.
AUGGGGCCCAUCAAACAGACCGCCUGCAAAGCCACCACCUGGCAGGCUCCCAGGAAGCCCCGGACCACAAAAGCCGUCCGCAAAAGGGCGCCCUCUAGAGGAUGGAUCAAGAAGUCUCACAGCUGCAGACCUGGCCCCAUGGCGCUGAGUGAAAUCAGAAGUACCACAAGUCCACUCAGCUGCUCCAGCACAAGCUAACCUUCCAGCGCCUGGUGCGCGAGAUCCCCCGGACCAUCAGCCGGGACCUGGGCUUCCAGAGCGUGGCCGUUGGUGCUUUCAGGGGACCAAUGAGGCCUACCUGGUGCGCCUCUUUGAAGACACCAACCUGUAUGUCAUCCAUGCCAGAAGCGUCCCAAUUAUGCCAAGAGACGUGCAGCUGGCCCACAGCCUCCGUGGAGAGGGUGCUG